This 350-nucleotide ribosomal RNA is filed under the name uncultured bacterium. RNAcentral describes it as "bacterial SSU rRNA". It matches the Rfam family "Bacterial small subunit ribosomal RNA", at positions 917 to 1267 of the family's 1533-position model. The record is from RNAcentral.
GGGCCCGCACAAGCGGUGGAGUAUGUGGUUUAAUUCGAUGCAACGCGAAGAACCUUACCUGGUCUUGACAUCCUGCGAACUUUCUAGAGAUAGAUUGGUGCCUUCGGGAACGCAGUGACAGGUGCUGCAUGGCUGUCGUCAGCUCGUGUCGUGAGAUGUUGGGUUAAGUCCCGUAACGAGCGCAACCCUUGUCCUUAUUUGCCAUCAUUUAGUUGGGAACUCUAACGGGACUGCCGGUGCAAACCGCGAGGAAGGUGGGGGAUGACGUCAAAUCAUCACGGCCCUUACGUCCUGGGCUACACACGUGCUACAAUGGCCGGUACAGAGGGCAGCCACACCGCAAGGUGGAG